Non-coding RNA from Acanthosepion pharaonis, 107 nucleotides. The record is from the annotation of a GenBank genome assembly. NCBI's taxonomy places the organism in Eukaryota, Metazoa, Mollusca, Cephalopoda, Sepiida, Sepiidae.
CAUAACACAUUGAAACACCGGUUCUCGUUCGAUCGUCGAAGUUGAGCAUCGUCGAGCCUUGUCAGUACCUAGAUGGGUGACUGCUUAAAAAUACGAGGUGUUGUAAU